AUUGAACGCUGGCGGUAUGCCUAACACAUGCAAGUCGAACGGUAGCACAUUACGUGCUUGCUCUUAUGGUUGGGGAGUGGCGGGCGGUAGAGGAGAACAUGCGUAUUUACUUUUUAGUAGUGGAUAACGUAUUGGCUAUUACGCUAUUAGCGCAUACGGGCUACGGGUGAGAGCUUGGGAUCUUCCGACCUUGCGCGGUUCGAUGAGCCGAUGUCGGAUUAGCUGGUUGGCGGGGUAACGGCCCACCAAGGCGACGAUCCGUAGCUGGUCUGAGAGGAUGAUCAGCCACACUGGAACUGAGACACGGUCCAGACUCCUACGGGAGGCAGCAGUGGGGAAUAUUGGACAAUGGGCGCAAGCCUGAUCCAGCCAUACCGCGUGAGUGAAGAAGGCCUUCGGGUUGUAAAGCCCUUUUGUUGGGAAAGAAAAGCAGCAGGUUAAUACCCCGCGGGUCUGACGGUACCUAAAUAAUAAGCACCGGCUAACUUCGUG
RNAcentral lists this ribosomal RNA (492 nucleotides) under uncultured bacterium. RNAcentral's name for it is "partial 16S ribosomal RNA". It matches the Rfam family "Bacterial small subunit ribosomal RNA", at positions 30 to 507 of the family's 1533-position model. The record is from RNAcentral.